This 963-nucleotide ribosomal RNA is filed under the name Triticum aestivum (bread wheat). Its description in RNAcentral is "partial small subunit ribosomal RNA". The record is from RNAcentral. Lineage: Eukaryota; Viridiplantae; Streptophyta; Magnoliopsida; Poales; Poaceae.
AUGGCGGCCACGCUGUCGCAGCUGGACGACGGCAUCGUCCGCAGCAUGGCCAUCGGCGCGGUCUUCACCGACUACGCCGGGAAGAUAAGCUGCCUCGACUUCCACCGCAAGGAGGACCUCCUCGUCACCUCCAGCGAGGACGACUCCAUUCGCCUCUACAACACCACCAGCGCCACGUUGUCGAAGACAACUUAUCAUAAAAAACAUGGUGCUGACCGUGUCUGUUUUACUCAUCAUCCGAGUUCCAUAUUAUGUUCAUCAAGAUACAAUGUGGAGUCAGGAGAAUCACUUCGUUACCUGUCAUUGUAUGACAACCGUUGCUUGAGAUAUUUCAAAGGACACAAAGACAGGGUUGUUUCACUAUGUAUGUCACCUGUCAAUGAUAGCUUUAUGUCGGGGUCACUUGAUCACAGUGUCAGAAUAUGGGAUCUUCGUGUAAAUGCUUGUCAGGGUAUACUACGUCUGCGUGGUAGGCCUUCUGUUGCAUAUGAUCAGCAGGGACUUGUUUUUGCUGUAGCAAUGGAGGGAGGUGCUAUUAAGCUGUUCGAUUCUCGGUCAUACGACAAGGGUCCAUUUGACACUUUCUUGGUUGGUGGAGAUACGGCUGAAGUGUCUGACAUUAAAUUCAGCAAUGAUGGCAAGUCUGUGCUUUUGACUACAACUAACAACCAUAUAUAUGUUCUGGAUGCAUAUGGAGGGGAGAAGAAGUGUGGCUUCAGCUUGGAGCCAUCUCGCAACAUUGCAACUGAAGCUGCUUUCACUCCAGAUGGUCAAUAUGUAAUUUCAGGAUCUGGUGAUGGUACCUUGCAUGCUUGGAACAUCAAUACAGUACAGGAGAUUGCCUGUUGGAACAGUCAUAUUGGUCCUAUCACUGCUUUGAAAUGGGCCCCUCGUCGAGCUAUGUUCGCAACUGCAUCAACCGCACUAACUUUCUGGAUUCCCAACGAAUCCAGUUCGAGUUAG